RNAcentral lists this ribosomal RNA (465 nucleotides) under uncultured bacterium. RNAcentral's name for it is "partial 16S ribosomal RNA". It matches the Rfam family "Bacterial small subunit ribosomal RNA", at positions 338 to 795 of the family's 1533-position model. The record is from RNAcentral.
CCUACGGGAGGCAGCAGUAGGGAAUCUUCCACAAUGGGCGAAAGCCUGAUGGAGCAACGCCGCGUGGGUGAAGAAGGUCUUCGGAUCGUAAAACCCUGUUGGUAGAGAAGAAAGUGCGUGAGAGUAACUGUUCACGUUUCGACGGUAUCUAACCAGAAAGCCACGGCUAACUACGUGCCAGCAGCCGCGGUAAUACGUAGGUGGCAAGCGUUAUCCGGAUUGAUUGGGCGUAAAGGGAGCGCAGGCGGUCUGUUAAGUCUGAUGUGAAAGCCGUCGGCUUAACCGGCGUAGUGCAUUGGAAACUGGGAGACUUGAGUGCAGAAGAGGAGAGUGGAAUUCCAUGUGUAGCGGUGAAAUGCGUAGAUAUAUGGAAGAACACCAGUGGCGAAAGCGGCUCUCUGGUCUGUAACUGACGCUGAGGUUCGAAAGCGUGGGUAGCAAACAGGAUUAGAUACCCGGGUAGUC